Molecule: ribosomal RNA, 443 nt
Filed under: uncultured bacterium
Lineage: Bacteria
Description: bacterial SSU rRNA
Rfam family: Bacterial small subunit ribosomal RNA
Source: RNAcentral
AACGCGAAGAACCUUACCUGGGCUCGAACGGCUUAAGACCAUCUUUGGAAACAGAGACUUCCCGCAAGGGACUUGAGUCGAGGUGCUGCAUGGCUGUCGUCAGCUCGUGUCGUGAGAUGUUGGGUUAAGUCCCGCAACGAGCGCAACCCUCAUCCCUAGUUGCCAUCGGGUCAAGCCGGGCACUCUAGUGAAACCGCCCCGGAUAACGGGGAGGAAGGUGGGGAUGACGUCAAGUCCUCAUGGCCUUUAUGUCCAGGGCUACACACGUGCUACAAUGGUCGGUACAAACCGUCGCAAAACUGCAAAGUGGAGCUAAUCGGAAAAAGCCGACCUCAGUUCGGAUUGGAGUCUGCAACUCGACUCCAUGAAGCUGGAAUCGCUAGUAAUCGCAGAUCAGAACGCUGCGGUGAAUACGUUCCCGGGCCUUGUACACACCGCGCAUA